GAUGAACGCUGGCGGCGUGCCUAAUACAUGCAAGUCGAGCGAACAGACGAGGAGCUUGCUCCUCUGACGUUAGCGGCGGACGGGUGAGUAACACGUGGAUAACCUACCUAUAAGACUGGGAUAACUUCGGGAAACCGGAGCUAAUACCGGAUAAUAUAUUGAACCGCAUGGUUCAAUAGUGAAAGACGGUUUUGCUGUCACUUAUAGAUGGAUCCGCGCCGCAUUAGCUAGUUGGUAAGGUAACGGCUUACCAAGGCAACGAUGCGUAGCCGACCUGAGAGGGUGAUCGGCCACCCUGGAACUGAGACACGGUCCAGACUCCUACGGGAGGCAGCAGUAGGGAAUCUUCCGCAAUGGGCGAAAGCCUGACGGAGCAACGCCGCGUGAGUGAUGAAGGUCUUCGGAUCGUAAAACUCUGUUAUUAGGGAAGAACAAAUGUGCAAGUAACUAUGCACGUCUUGACGGUACCUAAUCAGAAAGCCACGGCUAACUACGUG
This 497-nucleotide ribosomal RNA is filed under the name uncultured bacterium. RNAcentral describes it as "partial 16S ribosomal RNA". It matches the Rfam family "Bacterial small subunit ribosomal RNA", at positions 28 to 507 of the family's 1533-position model. The record is from RNAcentral.